Molecule: ribosomal RNA, 407 nt
Filed under: uncultured bacterium
Lineage: Bacteria
Description: bacterial SSU rRNA
Rfam family: Bacterial small subunit ribosomal RNA
Source: RNAcentral
GUGCCAGCCGCCGCGGUAAUACGGGGGGGACUAGUGUUAUUCGUAUUGAUUUGGCGUAAAGGGCACGUAGGCUGUUCGCUAAGUUAUAGGUAAAAUCCCUUGGCUUAACCUAGGAAGGUCCUAUAAUACUGGCGAACUUGAGUUUGAUAGAGGAUAGUAGAAUUUCUAGUGUAAGGAUAAAAUCUAUAAAUAUUAGAAGGAAUACCAGAAGCGAAGGCGACUAUCUGGAUCAAUACUGACGCUGAGGUGCGAAAGCGUGGGGAGCAAACAGGAUUUGAGACCCUGGUAGUCCACGCUGUAAACGAUGUAUGUUAAAUGUCGGGAUAAUUCUCGGUGUUACAGCUAACGCGUUAAACAUACCGCCUGGGAAGUAUAAUCGCAAGGUUGAAACUUAAAGGAAUUGGCGG